UGUUAAAAAAAGUAUGCUAAAUUUAUAUUGAAUUAAUUUUAUUAUUCAUAUAUAUGUAUUAAAACAUAACAUAACCGAGAAACAGUAGUUUAACGGUAACGGCGUCAACUUCUCAUCUUCUAAACCCUAAGACCUCAAUCACAGUUUCUUCUUCGCUUCUUCUUCACCACAUCGACACCUUCCCACCACCGCCCUCCAUCAUCGUCCUGAACCCCAACGCCAGGCUUACCGUCGCACACAUCCGCCUCCAACCAACCUCCACCUCCAUCACCACUUUACCGUCGCUGGUUCCGACCACCACGCCCUCAGCCGUCUUCUCCAACCACACCGGAACCACUACGCACCACCGUUCGCCCUCACCUUCGCCGCCGGUCUCCGACAUCAGGUUUGUAGAAGAUGGAAUACGAAAAAGAGAUCCCCGAAUCGAAAUAUGAAUGUCUUCUUUUUGGCGUCUAAUGAGCUAAAUAAUUUAGCUUAUUUUUAGAAAUUACUCGGCGCACGGAGGAUGACGAUCGAUGUAGAUGUAGAAGAAAUGCAGAAGAGGAAAAAGGAAAGCAACCUAAACUUAAAGAAACACCAAUCAUAGCUUUAUGUAAAGAAUUUAGUUUUUUUAAAUAUGAAGUUUCAGACACGUUAAAAUGACGUUUUUUGCGGUUUAACGUGCCGCAACGCACAUGGGAAAAUACUAGUUAUUAUUAUAUCUUAACAUUUUGUUUUUAGUUCAAAUAAUUUUUAAGACAAUUUGUCUUAUGUUUUCUUUUUGUUUCAUCAAUUAUUUGUAUACAUUGCAUUUUCCAAUUAUUUACUUCGCAAUAACUCAACAUUACGUUUAUU
RNAcentral lists this long non-coding RNA (834 nucleotides) under Helianthus annuus (common sunflower). RNAcentral's name for it is "hypothetical non coding rna". Lineage: Eukaryota; Viridiplantae; Streptophyta; Magnoliopsida; Asterales; Asteraceae. The record is from RNAcentral.